This 333-nucleotide ribosomal RNA is filed under the name uncultured eukaryote. Its description in RNAcentral is "partial 18S ribosomal RNA". It matches the Rfam family "Eukaryotic small subunit ribosomal RNA", at positions 1470 to 1796 of the family's 1831-position model. The record is from RNAcentral.
CCCUUAGAUGUCCGGGGCCGCACGCGCGCUACACUGAAGGAAUCAGCGUGGCUUUCUCCCUGACCCGAAAGGGUUGGGAAACCCGUUGAAUCUCCUUCGUGAUAGGGAUUGGGGCUUGAAAUUGUUCCCCAUGAACGAGGAAUUCCCAGUAAGCGCGAGUCAUAAGCUCGCGUUGAUUACGUCCCUGCCCUUUGUACACACCGCCCGUCGCUACUACCGAUUGAACGGUUUAGUGAGGGCCUCGGAUUGGUCUCGGCCCGCUCUUUACCGGGCGGCGCCGUUGGUCGAGAAGACGCUCGAACUUGAUCGUUAGAGGAAGUAAAAGUCGUAACA